This 460-nucleotide ribosomal RNA is filed under the name uncultured bacterium. Its description in RNAcentral is "partial 16S ribosomal RNA". It matches the Rfam family "Bacterial small subunit ribosomal RNA", at positions 338 to 795 of the family's 1533-position model. The record is from RNAcentral.
CCUACGGGAUGCAGCAGUGAGGAAUAUUGGUCAAUGGACGCGAGUCUGAACCAGCCAAGCCGCGUGCAGGAAGAAGGUACUAUGCAUUGUAAACUGCUUUUAUACGGGAGUAAUUACAGAUACGUGUCUCUGGAUGAAAGUACCGUAUGAAUAAGCAUCGGCUAACUCCGUGCCAGCAGCCGCGGUAAUACGGAGGAUUCGAGCGUUAUCCGGAUUUAUUGGGUUUAAAGGGUGCGUAGGCGGUCAGGUAAGUUAGAGGUGAAAGCGCGAUGAUCAACAUCGAAACUGCCUCUGAAACUGUCUGACUAGAGUGUAGUUGCGGAAGGCGGAAUGGGUGGUGUAGCGGUGAAAUGCUUAGAUAUCACACAGAACACCGAUUGCGAAGGCAGCUUUCCAAGCUAUUACUGACGCUGAGGCACGAAAGCGUGGGGAGCGAACAGGAUUAGAUACCCCAGUAGUC